AUGUUAAAAAUGUCUGUGAAGACAUCAGUGAGUUCUGCUGCACAGUCUUUCAGUACACGCCCAGGGAUGUUGUCAGGACCCGGAGCUUUGCGGGCAUUGAUCCUGCUGAAGGAUCUCCUCACACUGUCUGGGGUCAGAGUCAUCACCUGGUCGCCGGGAGGAGGUGGAGUCUUCUGUGCAGUAGUGCUGUUUUGUUGCUCAAAGCGAGCGAAGAAGGUGUUCAGCUCGUUCAGCAGAGAGAUGUUGUUGUCACAGGCUCCUAGUGUCUCUGCUGUCGCUGAAUUGGUGAGCUAUCCUCCUGGAGUGCUGUCUCUUAGCCUCUCUGAUGCCGCGGGACAGGUUGGCCCUAGCUGUUCUCAGGCCCACCUCAUCUCCAGCUCUGAAGGCAGCAUUCCGUGUCUUCAGGAGUCUGUAGACCUCCCCCGUCAUCCAUGGCUUCUGGUUGGCCCGGACAGUGAUAGUUUUUGUGAUCGUUACAUCAUCAAUACACUUAUUGAUGUAGGCAGUAACAGUCUCUGAGUACUCCUGGAGGUCAGUGGUGUUAUUGCAUGUGGCAGCCUGUUUAAACAUGUCCCAGUCAGUUGUGUUGAAGCAGUCCUGAGUGUUCCACAGACUGUCGCACUACUAACUCAUGCUCAUAUCUGAUUGGUGGAGAAACUGGAUAAACUACAUAAACCCAAUCAUGUAUGAGACAUGACCUCUUACGAUGCUCAAGCUAUCAAGCUAUGGUUACAGAGGAAUGUUAUUUGAGAGAACUUACUUUAUCUUCAAGUCAUCAGCAGCCAGUUUAGAGUUGUCGAUCUGCAGGAGGAUGUUGGCAUUGUUGAUAUUAGCAGUUUGAAUCUACAUUAUAGAACAUUGAUAAAAAAAAAUGUAUUAAUGUAGAGCAUACUUAAACAUUGUGUCACUUAAAAAAUUUACCAAGAGUACCUUUUCCUUCAGGCAACUGAUGGUGUUCCAGUAGUGUCUGUAGUCCCUCUGUGCGAUCAGCCCUUUCUUCUCAUAGUACUCACGGAUCUGCCUUUCCAGGAUGGCAUUGGCAGCCUCCAGUGAGCACACCUCAGGCAGGACGCCAGACAGUCGUUCAGGUUCUGCAUGGUGCCCUUCUCAUUCAGCUGGAUGUAGUCACAGUUUCCAAGCAUGAUUCUAAAUCCUCCACUGUUUAGUUUGCAGUGCAGAUCUGGAUAGCAACCAACCCGGAGAUAACAGGAGGAAGAGAUGUGGGAGCUUCCUCCAAAACCACAGCCAUAAACAUUGUAGGUGGUGGGUGCACAAGGAAUUGUCAUACCACAGCGAAUCGGAGUGACUAUGGACUUUGAAGCCAUGAUCUUGAGACUGAAGCAGGAUGAUGUAGAUGAUAUGGUGAUGAGAUAAAACCAGAGAGGAAACCGUUAGAGAUCUCCUGAUGAAGAUGGGACCUUUGAGCCCAGCUCUGAGCUCUUAUAGAGAUAGAGAUCCAGGGUGGCUCCUGGACUUUGUGGGAGAAGAAGACAGAGGUGUGUGUGUGUGUGUGUGUGUGUGUGUGUGUGUGUGUGUGUGUGUGUGUGUGUGUGUGUGUGUGUGUGUGUGUGUGUGUGUGUGUGUGUGGAAGUGUUUUGUGCCAGUUUUAUGCCCUUUGACAGUUAAGUGCCGAAAAAGGAUGCUAUUUAAGGUUAUGCAAGGUUAGAUUUUCUAAAGUAAACACAUUUUGUGAGAACUGAUGACAUUUUAUUGUUCAUUUAAAAUGAUUUAUCUCCUUUGUUAUUAGCUUUCCUCCCAAUGUUAUAGGUAUAUGAUUUAGUUUAAACUGAGCAGGGCAAAUGGCCUGUCCUGCUAAAACAAUUGGUCUAAAAAGUCAGGAAGAAAAGGUCUGGUAGAUCUCACUUAGAGAAAUAUUUAGCUUGUGAGCACCACCAAGUCUUAGUUUUAUGUAACAGCAGUGGCUCCUGGCAAGUGACCAAAAGCAUGAAUCUUAUUGGUUUACCAGGUUUCUGGAUGGAAAAAAGAAAAAGCAUUCCAUAAAAACAAUAUGUUGCAUUGGCAGCAUGCAAAUGUUUGUGUCAGUCCGAACAAACACAUUCAUUCAAGUCAAAAUAUUUAUCGUACUGAAUUUUCACACCUAAUAUUUAUCUUGGUGUGACCAGGCCAUAAGUGUGUGAGAAAAAUAUCAGAAUGAUUGCAUCCAGUGUUGCUGGGAUGCAUCCAGAAGUAUAUAUAUAUAUAUAUAUAUAUAUAUAUAUAUAUAUAUAUAUAUAUAUAAGAGUCACUAGGUCUAGAAUAAUAAGGUGUCUUUAAUUAAUAGGUUAAAACUAAAGCCAGAAAAAUGUCUGUACUUCACAUUAAGUUAAAUGUCUACUUAAAUUUCUAGUAGAUAAUUAUGAAAAUAUUACAUAAAUGUUACCUUACAGACAUUAAAACAAAAUGUGCUACAAAACUCCUGCAUCUCCUCUAUUAAACUGUACAUUUCUUCAAAAUUCUUUCACAGUUAGCAGCUGCAUUGAAUUCAGCUUUAUGUGAUUUUUCAUCGCUUGAUACAAAUGACCAAGUCUAUCAAAAUGUAUGAUAUAGUUUUUUCUUAAACACAACCAUGAGUAAAACCCAUUUUCAUAUUUUUACUUACUUUUAUCAAAACUGUUUCAUUUAUGUAACCUACAUUUAUGUGAACUACACUUACAUAAUUAUAUAAGUACUAUUAUAAUAAGUAUAUUUUUUCUCAGUACUGAGAAAUAGCACUGAGAAAUUGGGACCUAGCCAUUUAUUGUUAUUGCUUCACUAAUUGGGGUGGUAUAGGGAUAGGGCAGUCUUCUUAGUGCUUUAAGAUGUUUGUUGUGGUCCUUCCACAGAUGCUCCUGAGCCAGAUGUUAGAUCAUGAUGUUGUAUCUAAGUAAACUUUAAGGGUCCAGUAUGGGUGGGACAGUGGCAUUGAUGCUGGUCAUGACUAGCUCUCAGAUCACUUCAUGAUGACAGGCGAGAGUGCUACUGGGUGGUAAUCAUUAGGAAAGGUAGGAUAUUGUUGACUUCUUUGGCGCAGGGAUGAUUCAUUUUUUAAUCUGGGUGAUAUACAUAUACAAAGUCGUAAAAUUUGUACAUUAUCCCAUUUUCUCCAUGAUAUAUGUGAUCAUCAAAUUAUUAAAUAAUAUCAUCAUACGCAACAUAUAAUUGUAAAUCUGAGAAGUACUUCUUAAGAGUAACAGUAGGAAUUAUUUCAUGAGCCUGUUUUAUGCUGUAACAAAUAUUUGUAGUAUAAUAUGAUAUGUGGCCUGGAAACAGUGUCCAGAUAAGGCUUUUGUAGGAUUUUUUUUUUUUUAAGGCUAACUUUAAAUCUAAUUGUAAUAGUUUGAUCUUUCUUUUCUUUUUCUGGAAUGAGUUAAUAAUUUUAAAAGGUCAGUAAAACGUGAAUACAUUACACAUGACUGAAUAAUAAUUAAUGAUGAUUCAGUGCGAAGACAUUGGGCCCGUCCAGUCCAGAGAUAUUUAAGUUGUUGUCGUUAUCUGGCGUUGACAAUAAGAGUGGAACGAUUUAUCACUGAAUUCUUAAUCAUAAUCAUUAAUCUGCAAAUCUUUCUUUAGCUGUAAGUCCACCUGCAGAUACAAACACAAAAGUCUGAGUCCCGCUGUAUCGCUCAGGCUGCACUGCAGUGUCUAUUCACAGGUGCGACCCCACUACUGAUCGGCACGGGGGCUUUGACCUGCUCCGUCUCCGACCUGGGCCGGUUCACCCCUCCUUAGACGACCUGGUGGUCCCGAGCUCCCCCAGGAGCACCAUAUCGAUACCGAACUUAGCGCGGACACCCGAUCGACAUAGUCCACUGCAGCCCAGAACCCCUGAACUCAAGCGAUCCGCCAGCCUCAGCCUCCCAGCAGCUUGGAUUACAGGCGCGCGCCACUGCACCCGGCGAGAGCUCAGAACAUCAGCGCUGACUCAAUCUCACUAAAUUGAGUCGCAGCAUAGCGUAGCCCUAGUGUGUAGUGCGUCAUUUGGGACACAAGUGGUGGCGUUUCACGAAAACCUAGGGCAGGGGUAUUUUAGAAAGUAAGUCAUGCAGGUUUGAACUGGCAUGAGGGAAAUUACACUUUUGGUUGAACAGAUUUUCCAAGAGUUUUGGUCUUUAUAUUUCUUUCCCAGUGGAGGUCCGAACAAUAGGCUAUAGGCCUAUAUUACACAUCUGGGCACCAGUGAUGCUUUGUAAAAGAAAAGAAAAGAAAAGAAAAGAAAAGAAAAGAAAAGAAAAGAAAAGAAAAGAAAAGAAAAGAAAAGAAAAGAAAAGAAACAGAAUACUGGGUCCUCAAAGCUAAAGGCCAGUGGCUUCUGAAAAUUUUUCUAGAAAAUAAUAACAAUAAUAACAAUUCAUCAGUUGAUGCCCAAUUAGAUUAUAUGUUUUUCAAACUACUAUAAACUAUUAUUUUAUUUUAAUUUUUUUUUACAUUUAGAUAUGCCCUACAUAUGUAAGACAGAAGACCAUGUGACAGAAAUACUGUUCAGAGUUUUCCUCUUGAAGUCUGGAACAUUUUUAUAUCUUGCUUAAAACAAACAUAAUCAAAAUGCUCUCAUCAUGAGCAGAAAACAGUUGAUAAUUGUUGUGGGCAAAUAAAGAAACAAAACUAUUUAAAAAAAAUAUUUAGUUAAUUUAAU
Cyprinus carpio carpio is the source of this 4612-nucleotide long non-coding RNA. The record is from Ensembl. NCBI's taxonomy places the organism in Eukaryota, Metazoa, Chordata, Actinopteri, Cypriniformes, Cyprinidae.